GUGCUCGCUUCGGCAGCACAUAUACUAAAAUUGGAACGAUACAGAGAAGAUUAGCAUGGCCUAUGCACAAAAAAAGACAACAAAAUGAUUUGGACUCCUUGGCAGGUUUU
Molecule: non-coding RNA, 110 nt
Organism: Podarcis lilfordi (Lilford's wall lizard)
Lineage: Eukaryota; Metazoa; Chordata; Lepidosauria; Squamata; Lacertidae
Source: the annotation of a GenBank genome assembly